CAACUUGGUUGGCGUGAAUGAUCAGGUUCACCGUAGUAUCCAUGCCACCACUCUAAACCAUACGCAUUGGAUACCCCUACUUCCACAGUCAUCCUCAUCACAACAACAAUCACCAC
This 116-nucleotide non-coding RNA is filed under the name uncultured Dinobryon. Lineage: Eukaryota; Chrysophyceae; Chromulinales. The record is from RNAcentral.